UUGUUGGGUGACUGCGUACCUUUUGUAUAAUGGGUCAGCGACUUAUAUUCAGUGGCGAGCUUAACCGAAUAGGGGAGGCGUAGCGAAAGCGAGUCUUAAUAGGGCGUUUAGUCGCUGGGUAUAGACCCGAAACCGGGCGAUCUAUCCAUGAGCAGGUUGAAGGUUAGGUAACACUGACUGGAGGACCGAACCCACUCCCGUUGAAAAGGUAGGGGAUGACUUGUGGAUCGGAGUGAAAGGCUAAUCAAGCUCGGAGAUAGCUGGUUCUCCUCGAAAGCUAUUUAGGUAGCGCCUCACGUAUCACUCCAGGGGGUAGAGCACUGUUUCGGCUAGGGGGUCAUCCCGACUUACCAAACCGAUGCAAACUCCGAAUACCUGGAAGUGUCAGCGUGGGAGACACACGGCGGGUGCUAACGUCCGUCGUGAAAAGGGAAACAACCCAGACCGUCAGCUAAGGUCCCAAAGUUGUGGUUAAGUGGUAAACGAUGUGGGAAGGCUUAGACAGCUAGGAGGUUGGCUUAGAAGCAGCCACCCUUUAAAGAAAGCGUAAUAGCUCACUAGUCGAGUCGGCCUGCGCGGAAGAUGUAACGGGGCUCAAACCACACACCGAAGCUACGGGUGCAUCGCAAGAUGCGCGGUAGAGGAGCGUUCUGUAAGCCUGUGAAGGUGAGUUGAGAAGCUUGCUGGAGGUAUCAGAAGUGCGAAUGCUGACAUGAGUAACGACAAUGGGAGUGAAAAACUCCCACGCCGAAAGACCAAGGGUUCCUGCGCAACGUUAAUCGACGCAGGGUUAGUCGGCCCCUAAGGCGAGGCAGAAAUGCGUAGUCGAUGGGAAACAGGUUAAUAUUCCUGUACUUCUAGUUACUGCGAUGGAGGGACGGAGAAGGCUAGGCCAGCUUGGCGUUGGUUGUCCAAGUUUAAGGUUGUAGGC
RNAcentral lists this ribosomal RNA (931 nucleotides) under Pseudomonas sp. AAC. RNAcentral describes it as "bacterial LSU rRNA". It matches the Rfam family "Bacterial large subunit ribosomal RNA", at positions 586 to 1525 of the family's 2925-position model. Lineage: Bacteria; Pseudomonadati; Pseudomonadota; Gammaproteobacteria; Pseudomonadales; Pseudomonadaceae. The record is from RNAcentral.